RNAcentral lists this unclassified non-coding RNA (1362 nucleotides) under Actinia tenebrosa (Australian red waratah sea anemone). RNAcentral's name for it is "forkhead box protein C1-A-like, transcript variant X1". The record is from RNAcentral. Lineage: Eukaryota; Metazoa; Cnidaria; Anthozoa; Actiniaria; Actiniidae.
GAGCGAGAGAUUCCUCGAUGUCUAGGGCGUAUUUGCGUGUCCUGGUGCUAUUGUUAAAUUGAAGUUAAUGGCAAACAAAAAGAAAAUAAUCCAUAGCCUUAACAGUUUGUUGUUUUUUAAAGUUUGGUUUUGGCUGAGGUUAAAACAAUUUACAACAAACAAAUGCCAUCCCAGAGGCACGUAUUAUAAACAGCCUACAAUCACUAAGUAGCUAGUAAGUUAACGACCUUGAAGCUAAUUAUACAUUAAAUAACCUAAAUUACAGCUAAAUUGUGUAAAGUUUGCCCAGCCAUUAAACCACAUAAGCUUUUCCUGUGUACAUUAUGCAGUGGGCAGCUCCUUCUCAUCAAAUGCAAGAGAUUAGCUCGCCAGUUCAUCUGUAAUAUUUGGCGACUUUGCGGGAGAAGAUUUACGCUACUUGACCCUGGAGAAUUUUUUCAACGGUUUUGCAAAGAGGGUGCGGAAAAACCCGACAAGCUUCAUGUAAACUGUUGAAGCUGCAUUUCAGCGAGGAUUUGCUCUCGUUUGUAACUGUCGGAGAUUUUUGUUCCAAAUACAAAGCUAGCGUCAAGUCUUGCUAAAUAACAGCUUAAGAAACAGAAGGAGAACAAUCUGCUUCGCUUGUAUGGAAAUCGCGGAUUUCCGUAGUAGCAUAAAGUUGGACCCUCAGAAAACAACCUCACGGAAUUGCUUUCUAGGAAAUUAGUAUUUAGUAUUUACUGCUGAAGCAAGUUUCUGUAGUAUUGAAUGCUUUUCCACAAUAAUGCGAGAAUAUUGACGAANUGAAGUGAACUCUCUGAGGUGAUCGAUCGGGCGAUGUUUGUCAUCCAUCAAAUAUUCACUUCACAAAUACCAAUGCUGAAAGGUUCUUCAAAUUAUUCUUCAAAUUACACAAGAAUCUUCAUUACCGACAAUUAGUUUAUUUUAUAGACAUCGGGAACAAGAAUGUACAACUAGUUGAUGACACUCGAUCCAGUAUUACUCUCUCUUUCUCUCUUCCUGCCCGACUUCAUUUGUUGUGAUCGCUCUCAUGCUGGGUGGGUCAUUGAUGCGCUUUACAUAGCGCUGCGGCCAAAACCGUAAACAUCAUUCAUCGGUGAAUCCACAAAGAAAAAAUCCUAUCGCAAACGAGUGAGUGCUCAUGAACGUAUGAAUUUGCCAUGUAAAGUCUUAAAGGCUGAGACGUUGGUCAGAAUUAGAAUGUCUCGUCGAAAUACCGAGGAGAAGGAACCCUAAAGGCGCCGACCACCAACUGCCAUCACUCUCCAGCUCGCCCUAUUCAUCCAUCGCACGAACACAUCAUGUUUCGGCCUCCACAUCACCAAGGGGUCUUACCACACAGCUGUGAACUAUGGAACGCCU